RNAcentral lists this ribosomal RNA (271 nucleotides) under uncultured archaeon. RNAcentral's name for it is "partial 16S ribosomal RNA". It matches the Rfam family "Archaeal small subunit ribosomal RNA", at positions 477 to 747 of the family's 1478-position model. The record is from RNAcentral.
CAGCGCCACGAGUGGCAAUCGCUAUUAUUGGGCCUAAAGCGUCCGUAGCAGGUUUUGAAAAUCUCUUGUGAAAUUGUUCAGCUCAACUGAGCAACGUGCAUGAGACACUACAUAACUAGGGACCGGGAGGAGUCAGAGGUAUUCAAUGGGGAGCGGUAAAAUGCUAUAAUCCAUUGAGGACCACCUAUGGCGAAGGCAUCUGACCAGAACGGAUCCGACUGUGAGGGACGAAAGCCAGGGGAGCGAACCGGAUUAGAGACCCGAGUAGUCC